Long non-coding RNA from Prosopis cineraria, 322 nucleotides. RefSeq lists it as uncharacterized. The record is from RefSeq and is a predicted model, not a curated record. The transcript has 3 exons. NCBI's taxonomy places the organism in Eukaryota, Viridiplantae, Streptophyta, Magnoliopsida, Fabales, Fabaceae.
AAUUGUGUUGUACCACACAAACAUUAAACAAACAAUUCCAAGGUCAUUUACAAAUUUUGAUGCAACUUACACUUGGAAUUUAAUAAAUAAAGUGCCCAAGACAAAUGAAAAAUAGCUUGGAUUGUGGCUUUUGUGUUAUGAGGUUCAUGAAAGACAUCAUUAUCUAUAAUGAGAGCACAAUUCCUGUGAUGUACUAUGAGGAUUCCUACAAUGAAGAAUUUGGUCAUGCACAAAUAAAUGAGGUAAUUAAAGAGUGGUGCCAGUACAUAUUUCAAGUAUGGUCAUUACACAAAGAUGCAUCAAUAGACUUAGUGCAAGAAGG